GAGUUUGAUCGUGGCUCAGGAUGAACGCUGGCGGCGUGCUUAACACAUGCAAGUCGAACGAAGCGCCUUAUUUGAUUUUCUUCGGAACUGAAGAUUUGGUGACUGAGUGGCGGACGGGUGAGUAACGCGUGGGUAACCUGCCCUGUACAGGGGGAUAACAAUCAGAAAUGACUGCUAAUACCGCAUAAGACCACAGCACCGCAUGGUGCAGGGGUAAAAACUCCGGUGGUACAGGAUGGACCCGCGUCUGAUUAGCUGGUUGGUGAGGUAACGGCUCACCAAGGCGACGAUCAGUAGCCGGCUUGAGAGAGUGAACGGCCACAUUGGGACUGAGACACGGCCCAAACUCCUACGGGAGGCAGCAGUGGGGAAUAUUGCACAAUGGGGGAAACCCUGAUGCAGCAACGCCGCGUGAGUGAAGAAGUAUUUCGGUAUGUAAAGCUCUAUCAGCAGGGAAGAAAGUGACGGUACCUGACUAAGAAGCCCGGCUAACUACGUGCCAGCAGCCGCAGU
Molecule: ribosomal RNA, 513 nt
Filed under: uncultured microorganism
Description: bacterial SSU rRNA
Rfam family: Bacterial small subunit ribosomal RNA
Source: RNAcentral